Molecule: long non-coding RNA, 678 nt
Organism: Capsicum annuum
Lineage: Eukaryota; Viridiplantae; Streptophyta; Magnoliopsida; Solanales; Solanaceae
Exons: 2
Source: RefSeq, a predicted model, not a curated record
CUUCAAAUAUCUUGUAGAGAAUUAUUUUUCCUUCAUAGCCCUUUUAGCCAUGAAUCACAAAACAUUCUCUUUAUUUUUCAUAGCCUUUUUUGUCUUAAUUUUCUGUCUAUCCUCAGCAAACUCCAGGAGAUUGUCAGGAGAAGAUGGAAAAGUCCCUCAAGGAAGUAUACCCUAUGAUCCAUUACAUAAAAAACCAAUAUGCAAGAAAAAUAUAAUUGGCAAAUGUAUAGCCACCAAAAAGCCACCACAUGUUGAAAAACCCUGCAAGAGUUUUACCAAUUGUCAUAAAAUGAAACCAUAGAAGCAAAGGGAGGAGUGUUAAAAUAAAAAUAAACUAUGCUCUUGUUUUUUAUAUGAAUUGCACUAUAUACACUAUGUGUGGGAAUAAAAUUAUGGUCGUGCUCUAUAUGUUAUCGGUUUGAGGCAGUAAAAGUAACAACUGAUGUUUGUAUUCAGAUAUAUUGUCUCAUCACACGCUUUAAGGUGUGGUCUGUCUCCAGACCUGCGAAUGCAGGAUGCUCUCUGUGCACUGAAUUGUAUCUUUUUUAUGAUUAAUUUAUAAUUGUACUAUUACUAUUGAUAUUCUGCAUGAUGUACUACUCUACUCGAUACUUUGCAUCAAUGUGUAUGAAAUAUUAUUAAUACAUAUGGAUUAAGUAUAUAUGCUAUUUCGAAAAA